This 274-nucleotide ribosomal RNA is filed under the name uncultured bacterium. Its description in RNAcentral is "partial 16S ribosomal RNA". It matches the Rfam family "Bacterial small subunit ribosomal RNA", at positions 523 to 796 of the family's 1533-position model. The record is from RNAcentral.
CUACGGAGGGUGCAGGCGUUAUUCGGAAUCACUGGGCGUAAAGGACGCGUAGGCGGGUUGGCAAGUCAGAUGUGAAAUCCUACAGCUUAACUGUAGAACUGCAUUUGAAACUGCUAACCUAGAGUAUGGGAGGGGGAGAUGGAAUUAGUGGUGUAGGGGUAAAAUCCGUAGAUAUCACUAGGAAUACCGAAAGCGAAGGCGAUCUCCUGGAACAUAACUGACGCUAAGGCGUGAAAGCGUGGGGAGCAAACAGGAUUAGAAACCCUAGUAGUCC